GAUGAACGCUGGCGGCGUGCUUAACACAUGCAAGUCGAACGGAAAGGCCCUGCUUUUGUGGGGUGCUCGAGUGGCGAACGGGUGAGUAACACGUGAGUAACCUGCCCUUGACUUUGGGAUAACUUCAGGAAACUGGGGCUAAUACCGGAUAGGAGCUCCUGCUGCAUGGUGGGGGUUGGAAAGUUUCGGCGGUUGGGGAUGGACUCGCGGCUUAUCAGCUUGUUGGUGGGGUAGUGGCUUACCAAGGCUUUGACGGGUAGCCGGCCUGAGAGGGUGACCGGCCACAUUGGGACUGAGAUACGGCCCAGACUCCUACGGGAGGCAGCAGUGGGGAAUAUUGCACAAUGGGCGGAAGCCUGAUGCAGCAACGCCGCGUGCGGGAUGACGGCCUGCGGGUUGUAAACCGCUUUCGCCUGUGACGAAGCGUGAGUGACGGUAAUGGGUAAAGAAGCACCGGCUAACUACGUG
Molecule: ribosomal RNA, 468 nt
Filed under: uncultured bacterium
Lineage: Bacteria
Description: partial 16S ribosomal RNA
Rfam family: Bacterial small subunit ribosomal RNA
Source: RNAcentral